RNAcentral lists this ribosomal RNA (363 nucleotides) under uncultured bacterium. RNAcentral describes it as "bacterial SSU rRNA". It matches the Rfam family "Bacterial small subunit ribosomal RNA", at positions 286 to 661 of the family's 1533-position model. The record is from RNAcentral.
GCCGGCCUGAGAGGGCGACCGGCCACACUGGGACUGAGACACGGCCCAGACUCCUACGGGAGGCAGCAGUGGGGAAUAUUGCGCAAUGGGCGAAAGCCUGACGCAGCGACGCCGCGUGAGGGAUGAAGGCCUUCGGGUUGUAAACCUCUUUCAGCGGGGACGAAGCGAAAGUGACGGUACCCGCAGAAGAAGCACCGGCUAACUACGUGCCAGCAGCCGCGGUAAUACGUAGGGUGCAAGCAUUGUCCGGAUUUAUUGGGCGUAAAGAGCUCGUAGGCGGCUUGUCACGUCGGAUGUGAAAACUCGGGGCUCAACCCCGAGCCUGCAUUCGAUACGGGCUAACUAGAGUGUUGCAGGGGAGAC